CCCUUAGAUGUUCUGGGCCGCACGCGCGCUACACUGACGAAGUCAGCGAGCAUGUCCUACGCCGACAGGUGCGGGGAAUCUUGUCAAACUUCGUCGUGAUGGGGAUUGAUUAUUGAAAUUCUUGAUCAUCAACGAGGAAUUCCUAGUAAGCGCAAGUCAUCAACUUGCGUUGAUUACGUCCCUGCCCUUUGUACACACCGCCCGUCGCUACUGCCAACUGAGAUGGGUCCUGAAUUGUUAGGAACGCCCGUCAAGGGGCCUACCCGGUCCCUAGUGCGGUGACGAGAAUAACUGUAAAUGGCAUAUCUUGUAGGGAGUAAAAGUCGUAACA
Molecule: ribosomal RNA, 331 nt
Filed under: uncultured eukaryote
Lineage: Eukaryota
Description: partial 18S ribosomal RNA
Rfam family: Eukaryotic small subunit ribosomal RNA
Source: RNAcentral